RNAcentral lists this ribosomal RNA (380 nucleotides) under uncultured bacterium. RNAcentral's name for it is "bacterial SSU rRNA". It matches the Rfam family "Bacterial small subunit ribosomal RNA", at positions 30 to 410 of the family's 1533-position model. The record is from RNAcentral.
AUUGAACGCUGGCGGCAUGCCUUACACAUGCAAGUCGAACGGCAGCACGGGAGCAAUCCUGGUGGCGAGUGGCGAACGGGUGAGUAAUAUAUCGGAACGUGCCCAGUCUGGGGGNUAACGUAGCGAAAGCUACGCUAAUACCGCAUACGAUCUAUGGAUGAAAGGCGGGGGAUCGCAAGACCUCGCGCGAUUGGAGCGGCCGAUAUCAGAUUAGGUAGUUGGUGAGGUAAGGCUCACCAAGCCGACGAUCUGUAGCUGGUCUGAGAGGACGACAGCCACACUGGGACUGAGACACGGCCCAGACUCCUACGGGAGGCAGCAGGUGGGGAAUUUUUGGACAAUGGGCGCAAGCCUGAUCCAGCAAUGCCGCGUGCAGGAUG